Panicum hallii is the source of this 846-nucleotide long non-coding RNA. RefSeq lists it as uncharacterized. The transcript has 2 exons. The record is from RefSeq and is a predicted model, not a curated record. NCBI's taxonomy places the organism in Eukaryota, Viridiplantae, Streptophyta, Magnoliopsida, Poales, Poaceae.
CUCAUUCCCCUUGCUACAGUUCAGAAGGGCGGCGGAGAGGCGAUUUCGCUCCCGGCGUCGAUCUCGCCAGCUUCUCCUUGCGUCCAGUGAUCAUUCCGGUGCCGGAGGUGGAGAGGAGCCGCAGGAUCGAUGGCCAGGUGGAGGCGGCGCUGCGCCCUUGGAAUAAGCUUCUCCGGCCCUUCCUCCACCUCGUCGGUGUGCGUUAUGGCAGCGGCGAAGGGCUGGUGUGUUGCAUCCUUGCCGGAUCUGGGGAUUCGCUAGAAGCUCUAGAUCUUCUCGGUGAGUUGUUUUGUCCCUUCCUUGUCUUCUUCGGAGACGGCACUGCGGUCGAUGCCAACUGCGGCGAGGCUCCAUGGAGGUUUCCUUACCGCUUUCCUGAGGAAUCGGAUGGGUGGUUUCAUUGCAACUGCUUGGGCGGUCUUAUUACCUUUUGGUUGCUUUGUCGUCCGGUGUUUUCGAGUUGCCGGCGGUGCUUGUGGCGACAAAUCCCAAGUUCCUCGGCGACGAGAUGGCCGGCUGUCAUCUUUUACUGCUAGGGCGUUCAUCGGAUUUACGGCACGUCGAUGAACUCGAUGUACUACUCAGUGUGACAAUCAAAAAGUUUGUUCCUUCGUCGGGAAGGGCUUUGGCUUCUAGCUGCAACCUUGACGUAUUUCUCCUCCUACCUCUGGUGCGGUGGAGGCUUGUUGAGGGGCUGCUCCUUGCGCCGACGACGAAAACGACCGGGAGACCCUUGUGUGGACCAAAAUGUAAUUUUCCUUUUCUCCGAGGGUGCCUUUGUAAGAGUUGCAAUGUAAACCUUAAGACAUACAUGUGAAAUGCAAUCCCGGUUUCUAAAAAAAAAAA